RNAcentral lists this transfer RNA (72 nucleotides) under Bos taurus (domestic cattle). It matches the Rfam family "tRNA". From Rfam's summary of the family: Transfer RNA (tRNA) molecules are approximately 80 nucleotides in length. Their secondary structure includes four short double-helical elements and three loops (D, anti-codon, and T loops). The record is from Rfam by way of RNAcentral. RNAcentral also lists the same sequence under 5 other names. Lineage: Eukaryota; Metazoa; Chordata; Mammalia; Artiodactyla; Bovidae.
CCCUACAUGGUCUAGUGGUUAGGAUUCCUGGUUUUCACCUAUGCAGCCCAGGUUUGACUCCUAGUGUGGGAA